RNAcentral lists this ribosomal RNA (492 nucleotides) under uncultured bacterium. Its description in RNAcentral is "partial 16S ribosomal RNA". It matches the Rfam family "Bacterial small subunit ribosomal RNA", at positions 29 to 507 of the family's 1533-position model. The record is from RNAcentral.
AGUGAACGCUGGCGGUAGGCCUAACACAUGCAAGUCGAACGGCAGCACAGUAAGAGCUUGCUCUUACGGGUGGCGAGUGGCGGACGGGUGAGGAAUACAUCGGAAUCUACUUUUUCGUGGGGGAUAACGUAGGGAAACUUACGCUAAUACCGCAUACGACCUACGGGUGAAAGCAGGGGAUCUUCGGACCUUGCGCGAUUGAAUGAGCCGAUGUCGGAUUAGCUGGUUGGCGGGGUAAAGGCCCACCAAGGCGACGAUCCGUAGCUGGUCUGAGAGGAGGAUCAGCCACACGGGAACUGAGACACGGUCCAGACUCCUACGGGAGGCAGCAGUGGGGAAUAUUGGACAAUGGGCGCAAGCCUGAUCCAGCCAUACCGCGUGGGUGAAGAAGGCCUUCGGGUUGUAAAGCCCUUUUGUUGGGAAAGAAAAGCAGCAGGUUAAUACCCCGCUGUUCUGACGGUAGCCAAAGAAUAAGCACCGGCUAACUUCGUG